Long non-coding RNA from Lagopus muta (rock ptarmigan), 643 nucleotides. RefSeq lists it as uncharacterized. Lineage: Eukaryota; Metazoa; Chordata; Aves; Galliformes; Phasianidae. The transcript is spliced from 3 exons. The record is from RefSeq and is a predicted model, not a curated record.
UGUAAGCUGGGAGAGCAUUGGUGCUGCAUAGUGAAAUGGCAGGGAGGACUUAAAGCAGUGCUCCAAUCUGCCCAGGCAGCCUGCCUGGAGAAGUGGUAUUUACCAACAGGAGGUGUUUAAAAGAUGUGUGGACUUGGUGAUGGUUGGACGUGGUGAUCUUAAAGGUGGCCUACAUAGCUCUGAGGAACUUCAGCACAUCAUUGCAUCAGGCUGGUUCAAGUGAAACAGUCAUCAGGUUUUUAAUGAGGAAUAUAGUGGUAAUGACGCUGUGAAUGGGCUUUGAGCAGUCUAGGAACUCAAGGUUGGUCUGCUAACAAUCUGUGGCUGCCAGGUGCUUCUCCAGGGGAAAACCAAGACUCUACAUGUCUCACAACCAUUCAUCCGGUACCCAAAUGUUUGCUGGUGAAAGUACAGAGAAGUACCCACUAAGCAGGAGUGACUGAGUAGAGAACAUCUAUCAGCUAUCUGGACUGAGGAGAAGGCUUGACUCUGUACUGACCAGAAGCCCAGUGCUCCAGAGAAACUGUUGAUGGGCACAGCAGCACCUCACCUUUCUAAAGCAUUGCUUGCCAAUGCAUUGCAAAGAGAUAUCAGUUGUUCCUGAAUCUUUAGAUGUCCUAGUAUGUGCUCUAGUACAAUUGAA